This 488-nucleotide ribosomal RNA is filed under the name uncultured Glomus. RNAcentral's name for it is "SSU rRNA". It matches the Rfam family "Eukaryotic small subunit ribosomal RNA", at positions 569 to 1062 of the family's 1831-position model. Lineage: Eukaryota; Fungi; Glomeromycota; Glomeromycetes; Glomerales; Glomeraceae. The record is from RNAcentral.
AGCAGCCGCGGUAAUUCCAGCUCCAAUAGCGUAUAUUAAAGUUGUUGCAGUUAAAAAGCUCGUAGUUGAAUUUCGGGAUCAAGGAAUCGGUCAUGCCUUGGUAUGUACUGGUUUUAUUGGUUCUCACCUUCUAAAGAACCAUAAUGUCAUUUAUUUGAUGUUAUGGGGAAUUAGGACUGUUACCUUGAAAAAAUUAGAGUGUUUAAAGCAAGCUUACGCUUGAAUACAUUAGCAUGGAAUAAUGAAAUAGGACAUCAGAUUCUAUUUUGUUGGUUUCUAGGAUCGAUGUAAUGAUUAAUAGGGAUAGUUGGGGGCAUUAGUAUUCAAUUGUCAGAGGUGAAAUUCUUGGAUUUAUUGAAGACUAACUACUGCGAAAGCAUUUGCCAAGGAUGUUUUCAUUAAUCAAGAACGAAAGUUAGGGGAUCGAAGACGAUCAGAUACCGUCGUAGUCUUAACCAUAAACUAUGCCGACUAGGGAUCGGAUGAUG